This 585-nucleotide ribosomal RNA is filed under the name Triticum aestivum (bread wheat). RNAcentral's name for it is "partial small subunit ribosomal RNA". Lineage: Eukaryota; Viridiplantae; Streptophyta; Magnoliopsida; Poales; Poaceae. The record is from RNAcentral.
AUGUAUCAUCAUCACUCCUCCUCUUCUUCUUCCUAUACCUGUCAGGGAAGCAAUGGCUUCCUCCCCUCCCAACCGUCAGCGUCGAGCUACGGUGAUCUGUUGCAAGCAGAGCAGCACUGCUACUACUACUCCCAUCAGCAGGGUCAGGCGCCGCCGUUCCGCCAUGUGCUGAGCACGGGAGACCUCGGGGCGCCAACGCCGGCGCCGGCAGCAGCAGCGGCUGGGAGGUACACCACGGAGGAGCGGCGGGAGCGCAUCGAAAAGUACAGGAGCAAGCGCAACCAGCGCAACUUCCAAAAGAAGAUCACAUACGCUUGCCGGAAGACCCUCGCGGACAGCCGGCCGAGGGUGAAGGGCCGCUUCGCGCGCAACGUCGACGACGACGCAGUCGCAGAUCAGCCGGAGUUCACAGCGGCGGAGGUGUCCUCGAUGAUGAGCGAAGCCAAUGUUGUCGUGGGUGCCACGGACGCCGCCGCCAGCAGCAGCAGCAGCAGCAUGCCGGAGUGGUGGCCGGCAAUGCAAGGCGCGCUGGCCAUGGAGGACGAUGAGCUUUACAUCGCCGUCUCCUCCAUCAACCUCUACUAG